AAUGAUAUGUCUGAAUAAAGUAAUAAACUGUAAAUUUAUUUAAGAAUCUCCCCUAGAUUCUAUCAUUA
RNAcentral lists this transfer RNA (68 nucleotides) under Tessmannella kiplingi. RNAcentral's name for it is "tRNA-Tyr". The record is from RNAcentral. Lineage: Eukaryota; Metazoa; Arthropoda; Insecta; Hymenoptera; Liopteridae.